CUUGAACGCUGGCGGCAGGCCUAACACAUGCAAGUCGAGCGGAUGAAGGGAGCUUGCUCCUGGAUUCAGCGGCGGACGGGUGAGUAAUGCCUAGGAAUCUGCCUGGUAGUGGGGGAUAACGUCCGGAAACGGGCGCUAAUACCGCAUACGUCCUGAGGGAGAAAGUGGGGGAUCUUCGGACCUCACGCUAUCAGAUGAGUCUAGGUCGGAUUAGCUAGUUGGUGGGGUAAAGGCCUACCAAGGCGACGAUCCGUAACUGGUCUGAGAGGAUGAUCAGUCACACUGGAACUGAGACACGGUCCAGACUCCUACGGGAGGAAGCAGUGGGGAAUAUUGGACAAUGGGCGAAAGCCUGAUCCAGCCAUGCCGCGUGUGUGAAGAAGGUCUUCGGAUUGUAAAGCACUUUAAGUUGGGAGGAAGGGCAGUAAGUUAAUACCUUGCUGUUUUGACGUUACCAACAGAAUAAGCACCGGCUAACUUCGUG
This 484-nucleotide ribosomal RNA is filed under the name uncultured bacterium. RNAcentral describes it as "partial 16S ribosomal RNA". It matches the Rfam family "Bacterial small subunit ribosomal RNA", at positions 30 to 507 of the family's 1533-position model. The record is from RNAcentral.